This is a non-coding RNA of Gossypium hirsutum (cotton), 102 nucleotides long. The record is from Rfam. Lineage: Eukaryota; Viridiplantae; Streptophyta; Magnoliopsida; Malvales; Malvaceae.
AAUUCAUGAUGUGGGCAUCUUUCAAUGUUUUAAAAUGCUCCCAAGCUUCGUGAAAACUUUCUCCUUCUAAUUGUUUAAAUGUUGUGACCUCCCUCCUUAGUU